This 468-nucleotide ribosomal RNA is filed under the name uncultured bacterium. RNAcentral's name for it is "partial 16S ribosomal RNA". It matches the Rfam family "Bacterial small subunit ribosomal RNA", at positions 28 to 507 of the family's 1533-position model. The record is from RNAcentral.
GACGAACGCUGGCGGCGUGCUUAACACAUGCAAGUCGAACGGAAAGGCCCUGCUUUUGUGGGGUGCUCGAGUGGCGAACGGGUGAGUAACACGUGAGUAACCUGCCCUUGACUUUGGGAUAACUUCAGGAAACUGGGGCUAAUACCGGAUAGGAGCUCCUGCUGCAUGGUGGGGGUUGGAAAGUUUCGGCGGUUGGGGAUGGACUCGCGGCUUAUCAGCUUGUUGGUGGGGGAGUGGCUUACCAAGGCUUUGACGGGUAGCCGGCCUGAGAGGGUGACCGGCCACAUGGGGACUGAGAUACGGCCCAGACUCCUACGGGAGGCAGCGGUGGGGAAUAUUGCACAGUGGGCGGAAGCCUGAUGCAGCAACGCCGCGUGCGGGAUGACGGCCUUCGGGUUGUAAACCGCUUUCGCCUGUGACGAAGCGUGAGUGACGGUAAUGGGUAAAGAAGCACCGGCUAACUACGUG